AGCGAUCGUGGGUGACGGCGACCACCGUGCCCGGGAAGCGCGUGAGGAACUGUUCGAGCCAGUCGACCGAUUCC
This 74-nucleotide transfer RNA is filed under the name Paraburkholderia caffeinilytica. RNAcentral's name for it is "tRNA-Pro". Lineage: Bacteria; Pseudomonadati; Pseudomonadota; Betaproteobacteria; Burkholderiales; Burkholderiaceae. The record is from RNAcentral.